CUUUUUAAUAGCUCUCUGUAUUCUUCUAUGUAAAGUUGUUUGUUUAGUCUUUCACAAUCUCAAAUUCUGUUACCUUCUUUAGCUUUCCUUUUUUAUAAUCCUUUUCCUUUGGUGGUGAUAGGGAGUAGGGAAUGCAUAUUGGUAGAUGGCAUGCCCAUUCUUUUUAUUUUGCUCAAACUAACAAAUCUCUGAGGUAUGAAUAAAUAACAUUUUGGUUCUUAUGGUAACUGAAAAAUUAUUGUCCACCCUCGUCACAGUUGAAUGAAUGAGCAUUUCUUUUUCAAUUCACUCUUGUUUUUCUACUGAGUCAGACUGGAGUGUGUGAUGGGAGAUGUAAAUAGCUGCGGUGGCAUAUGGUCAUUUUAAAAAAAUAUUUGCUGGUUAAUGUUUUGUAAGAUUACUUUUUCUUAUCUUGUUAUAAGAGUAUAAUAUAUCUUCUUAUAAUAUAUCUUCUAAUUCCAACGUGGUCCAGGAGCCUCUUUCCCUGCCAUGGAUCAUCAGGCACAUGGGUUCUUCCCUUAUUUGUCCAUUGCACUUCUGGGUAGAUUUGUCCUCCUAGGAGCUACUCAUCUACUCUCCAGCGUGACUUCUGGGUUCUGCAGGACAUGACAUUUAUCCCCUCCAGAAAAUGCAACAAGGUGCAUCUUGGAAGCAGAGUGCAGCACUCACCGGACAGGAAAUCUGCUGAUGCCUUCAUCUUGGACUUCCCAGUCUCCAGAACUAUAAAGAAUGCAUUUCUUUUCUUAUAAAUUACCCAGUCUAUGAUAUUCCAUUAUAGUAGCACAAACGGACUAGGACAACACAUAAAUAACUCAAGCCAAUUUCUCACUUACAUUUGUUAAAAUAGUAAUGUACAAAUCCCGGAAACAGUCAACAACAAAAUCCCAUUUCACAACUCCCUCAUCCCUAAUACACAAUUUCUAACCUAUUCUGAAAUUGAGAAGUCUUAUACUUUGCAAAUGGCAUGGCAACUUUAUGUCCAUUUAAAAUUGUCUAAAUAUUUAGUACAUUUCUAGAGUCUAGAGCACACAGCUCAGGGCCCUGGUAACAUGCAGGCAAUCAGACUAUAAAUUUAUUUCUCUUCUUGAACAUCCUGCCCUGUUCAUCUUCAGUAAUCAAAUGGGCUUCAAUUUGUUCUUUACUAUGCUUUCACCUCUUCAUGCUCACUUCCAAGUCAACUCUACUCCUUCUCUAUUUUGCCCAAUACACUUUCUAGUUACAUAAUCAGAUGACUCUAGAAAAGCUGCCCAAGGCUGACCAUUCUCUAUGUGAAUUUUCCAACUACAUUGAAAGACCAAACUCAGUAUCCCCAACAUUGUCCUAACUUAAAGGUAUACUUGUAGUGGCACCAUAUAAACCAGGCAAACUAUUUAAAAAUGUAUCUGGAAGUAUUUGGCAUUUCCUGGUUAUAAUUUAAAGGAUGUAAUUUUGGCAUAGGAUUUCUGAAUAAUUGUUAUUAGACAGAGUUAUUUGUAUUUUCCACUACCAUUUUUAGAAAGGGAAUUUCACUUUGGAUAGCGGGUUAGUGUGUGUGUGUGUAUGUGCCCAUGUGCAGGUGAGGAGGGAACAAACUACUUGAUUCUUCCAUAAGUUAUUAAGUGACCCUUUUUUGGGCCUGAUUGUCAAAUGAAAUUUUCUGCACAAUACUUGGAAAGCAUUUGCAGGUUUCUGCGUGAGGUGAAGAAAAAAGAACAUGAAAAUAUUGUGGAUUCAUGAGCUACAAGAAGAAUCAUGAAACUUUUGAAAAGUUAUCAGCCUCAUAGCUUGAGUGUGAAUGAAUUAGUUUUCACAGAAAUCAAUGAAUGGGCUGGAUUUUACAGCCAAGACAUAAUGGAGACAAAAAAGAGCAGGCAGUGAUUUACAGAAAUUUUGAAUCCUUCUUCUGGAGUGCUAUACAUUCAUAAGAUUAUGAUUUGGAUUAAGUUUAAUCUGAUACCUAAAUGUCCAAGCGCAUAGUUUACAUUUGAUUUAUACAGUAGUACAGUAAUGUUAACAAAACUGAAUUUUUGUAACAAAUUAUAUAUACUUGAGAUAGAGAAAAAACUGUUGACUCCUUUUAUCAUUAAGUUAAAAAAAUAAUAUGGCAGCAUAUCACUUGUAUGAACUUCUGAAUGAAGACAAUAUCUUGAUGUACAAAUUCUGUUUUUCAACCAAAGGAUCAUACUUAAGCAUAUUUAAAUAUGAUGCUCAGUAAAAAGAUCUUACAACAUUAUAAUUUGUAAUGUUUGAAAUGGACAUGAAAGUAGAAUGCAACAUUUGUAUCUACAUGAGUAACUAUCAUUUAUCUAUCUAAAAUUUAUUAAACAUUUGCGAAUGAGAGCAUGACAUUGGAGUCACACUGCUUUGGGUUUGAAAUCUGGAUCCCAUAUGUGUCAGGUAAAAACCUUGAAAAAGUUACUUAACCUGUCUGUUUAUCAGUUUCUUUAUAAGACACAGAUCAUAAUAAUAUGUACAUCAGAGGAUCAUGGUGAUUAUAAAAUAAAUUAACAUAAAUGAGUUAAUAAGGCCUAGGAUUUUAGAAGUGUAGUAUAAACAAAGUACCUAGUAUGCUACUUACAGUGAUUAUCAUUAUCUCUUAUAACUUUAAGUUAAAUUGGCCUUCUUGGUAAAUUUCAAACACAAUUAUAUCUGGGUCCACAUCAGGAAAUUUGAACAUACAGUUCAUCUGUUUGGAGCUCACUUCCCUCAUUUGUUUUCAUAGCUUCCUACCUCAGUGCAUUCAGGUUUCUUUUUCAAAACAUAUAAACAGAGAUGCCUUGUUAAACUACCCAAUCUAAAAUUGUCUUUUUUUAUUUAUUAUUUUUCUUCAUCUAUGUCACCAUUUGCUAUUGUUACUAAAUUUAUUUCUAGUUUACCGCCCACUAACAUAGAAGUUCCAUGAAAAGAGAGACGUGCCUAGUUGCCCCCAUUAUCUCAGUGUAAACAUUUUUUUUCCCUGAAACUGAAACAAUAAUCUUCCUUUUGUGGAGAUGCUGUUAAAGGGUACAUAGGGUAAUUCAUACUAAUAGGUUCUCUCAUUCUUGCAAACUGUUGUGGAAUAAUCAAUUUAAGGGCAACAACUGAGCUCUUCAUAAAUUGAGGAAAAUUGCCAUGCAUGAAGGUGUUUUUCCUAACCCCCACCUCUGAUUCUACAUAUUCUUUAAACAUAUCUCUCAAAAAUUUGGAGUUAACAUUGUAAAUAAUAUUUAUGUAUUUCUUUGGGUUUUGAAAUUUACUUAUGGAUCAUGUAGACCACUUAAAAAUAUUUUUAAAAAUCUUUAAAGCUAAAGUUGAACAUUUGUGACAACUAGGAAUAUUUGGAUACUUUGUGUUUCUCUCCCUCUUUUUAUGUCUCUCUAUCUCUCUCUGAUAAAAGUAUGUUUGUGGAUAAUUUAUUUUAAAACUAGACUUUUGGUUAUGCCAGAUUAAUAGUUCCAGAGAUCUCUUAUAAAGCACAUUUCUUGUAGUUAACAAUAUGGUGUUGUGCACUUCAAAAUUUGUUAAAUAAUAGAUUUCAUGUUAAGUAUUCUAAAAACACACACACAUACACACUCGGACACAAGGCAACUUUGGUUGAUAUUGAACACAUCCAUUACCUUGAUUGUGGUGAUGAUGGUAUUACGGGUGUUUGCAUAUGUCCAAACUCAUUAAAUUGUACACAUUGAACAUGUGAAGUUCUUUGCAUAUCAACUAUAUCUCAAUAAAGCUGUUAAAAUUAAAGCAAA
Molecule: long non-coding RNA, 3704 nt
Filed under: Homo sapiens (human)
Lineage: Eukaryota; Metazoa; Chordata; Mammalia; Primates; Hominidae
Description: HSALNT0204959
Source: RNAcentral